This 35-nucleotide non-coding RNA is filed under the name Trypanosoma brucei brucei. Lineage: Eukaryota; Euglenozoa; Kinetoplastea; Trypanosomatida; Trypanosomatidae. The record is from RNAcentral.
AGAAAAUUAAUUUAGUUUUGAUGUAGUGAGUAUAU